UCCCUGGUGGCUCAGUGGUAAAGAAUCUGCCUGCAAUGCAGGAGACGCAGGUUCAAUCCCUGGGUCGGGAA
RNAcentral lists this transfer RNA (71 nucleotides) under Ovis aries (sheep). It matches the Rfam family "tRNA". From Rfam's summary of the family: Transfer RNA (tRNA) molecules are approximately 80 nucleotides in length. Their secondary structure includes four short double-helical elements and three loops (D, anti-codon, and T loops). The record is from Rfam by way of RNAcentral. Lineage: Eukaryota; Metazoa; Chordata; Mammalia; Artiodactyla; Bovidae.